GACGAACGCUGGCGGCGUGCUUAACACAUGCAAGUCGAGCGGUAAGGCCCUUUCGGGGGUACACGAGCGGCGAACGGGUGAGUAACACGUGGGUGACCUGCCCUCAGCUCUGGGAUAAGCCUGGGAAACCGGGUCUAAUACUGGAUAUGACUCCAUGACGCAUGUUGUGGGGUGGAAAGCCUUGUGCGGCUGAGGAUGGGCCCGCGGCCUAUCAGCUUGUUGGUGGGGUGAUGGCCUACCAAGGCGACGACGGGUAGCCGGCCUGAGAGGGCGACCGGCCACACUGGGACUGAGACACGGCCCAGACUCCUACGGGAGGCAGCAGUGGGGAAUAUUGGACAAUGGGGAAACCCUGAUCCAGCGACGCCGCGUGUGUGAAGAAGGCCUGCGGGUUGUAAAGCACUUUGGUGGGAACGAAAUAUGCCGGGCGUAACUACCCCGGUACGGCUGACGUUACUCAAUAGAAGAAGCACCGGCUAACUCUGUGCCAGCCGCCGCCGUAA
This 503-nucleotide ribosomal RNA is filed under the name uncultured bacterium. RNAcentral describes it as "bacterial SSU rRNA". It matches the Rfam family "Bacterial small subunit ribosomal RNA", at positions 28 to 523 of the family's 1533-position model. The record is from RNAcentral.